RNAcentral lists this long non-coding RNA (1309 nucleotides) under Equus caballus (horse). RNAcentral describes it as "lncRNA (ENSECAG00000053225.1)". The record is from RNAcentral. Lineage: Eukaryota; Metazoa; Chordata; Mammalia; Perissodactyla; Equidae.
GUCCACGCCUGGGUUUCAAACCUGUGAACCCCGGGCCACCAAAGUGGAACAUGCGAGUCUAACCACUGCACCACUGGGCUGGCUCCUGAUUGUCACUUUUUAAAACUCUUAUGAACAGAGCUGGGGAACCAUCAGGAAAAGGUGGUAAGUGGAGUAAGGGAUGGUUUAAUCAUUCAGAAAGAUAACUGCCGGCAAAUUUCAGAUUUCAGAGAAAGCUGGAAGGGCUGACAUAAAGACAUGGAAGGCUUCUCUGGAGAAGUUCGCUGAAGUCUUGGAAGAUGAAGGCUACUGUUUAAGACGGGUGUUUCAUGUUUUUGAAAAGGGAGCAGGAGAUCACUGGUCCUCGGAGCAAUGAAGAUGGCUGAUUCUGAUGACUAAGAAACUUACCAGGAGAAGAAAGCAUUUUCAGUUCACAUUUCACUGGACUCAUGUUUUCAGGAACCAAACCCUUAGCCUAUGCUCACUUCCACCCCCAGAUAUUUUCAAAUAUAGAUUUAUAUUAUGUGUUUGGUUUUAUAUAUUAAAUAUAUGUUUAUCAAAGACUGUAUCCAAAGUGAGGGGAUUUUCUUUUCAUGAUUAUUUGCAUUUUAAUUACAUGAAAUGGAUUUUCAGGAACAAAACUCCAAUUCAAGAGUCAACUAUGGAACUCUCUUACCUGUCAUCCAGAAACUUUAUUAUAAAUCAUUCGUCAACAAUAUCUGUGUUUCUAAUUCUAGUUUAUCGUUUCUUCUGAGGCACAGAGAAAUGAAAUGAAGAGAUGGGGUUCAGAGUUAUUGAACACUAUGCCUAGAGGAUCUUAUUCAGUCUUUAUGAACACCACUGCCCAGUAGGUAUUAUCAACUAUACUUGUUUAGGUGAGGACUCUGAGGCUCCAGGAGCUUGAGUGAUGGGCCCAGGGUUAUUAAAGUUAGUAAUUGGCAGAACUGAGACUUAAGUGCAAGCUUAUUUUCAUAUGCUGUUAUUGCCAAUAAUCUAUCCUACAAGAAGAUAAAAAUAUGGCAUUAAAUUAUUAAUUUUAAAGUAACCAUUGUGACAUUUACUUCUUUUUAUCCCAAAAUAUGCCUCGCUCAGUGGUGGGCACACAGUAGUGUCCAACAGCGGUAGGUCAAGAAACGGACACAGGAUGCUAUUUGGAACUGAGCACCCAGGCUCCGGAUCCGAAACCCGGGCUCAGUUCCUGGAUUCACCGUUAUCCGAAUAUGUACCCUGUGGCAAGUCAGUUUCCUCGUAUGGUAAAAUGGGGAUAAGAAUAUCCAUCUUUUAGGGUGGAUGUGAGGAUUAAUUGGGUUGAUGCUAGUAAGUCACUUAG